RNAcentral lists this ribosomal RNA (455 nucleotides) under uncultured bacterium. RNAcentral describes it as "bacterial SSU rRNA". It matches the Rfam family "Bacterial small subunit ribosomal RNA", at positions 340 to 786 of the family's 1533-position model. The record is from RNAcentral.
UACGGGAGGCAGCAGUGGGGAAUAUUGCACAAUGGGCGAAAGCCUGAUGCAGCUAUGCCGCGUGUAUGAAGAAGGCCUUAGGGUUGUAAAGUACUUUCAUCGGGGAGGAAAAACAAAACUAAUAAUUUUAUUUCUUGACGUUACCCGAAAAAGAAGCACCGGCUAACUCCGUGCCAGCAGCCGCGGUAAUACGGAGGGUGCUAGCGUUAAUCAGAAUUACUGGGCGUAAAGAGCACGUAGGUGGUUUUUUUAAGUCAGAUGUGAAAUCCCUGGGCUUAACCUAGGAACUGCAUUUUGAAACUGAAAUACUAGAGUAUCGUAGAGGGAGGUAGAAUUCUAGGUGUAGCGGUGAAAUGCGUAGAUAUCUGGAGGAAUACCUAUGGCGAAAGCGGCCUCCUAAACGAAUACUGACACUGAGGUGCGAAAGCGUGGGGAGCAAACAGGGAUUAGAUACC